UAGAUUGUGAUGAAGCAAAGAAUUUAAUCCAACACUUGAUCUGAGUUAAUUAAGUGAUUGUAAACUACUUUUCUGCUCCUGAAUCUGC
Molecule: small nucleolar RNA, 88 nt
Organism: Lotus japonicus
Lineage: Eukaryota; Viridiplantae; Streptophyta; Magnoliopsida; Fabales; Fabaceae
Product: small nucleolar RNA snoR31
Exons: 1
Source: RefSeq, a predicted model, not a curated record